This 1416-nucleotide unclassified non-coding RNA is filed under the name Hevea brasiliensis (rubber tree). Lineage: Eukaryota; Viridiplantae; Streptophyta; Magnoliopsida; Malpighiales; Euphorbiaceae. The record is from RNAcentral.
GUCUCUUCUUACAUAUCAAAUGGGAAUCGUUUCUUUAAGCACCAAAACCUUAAUCAAUACCUCUUUACUCUUCUUUCCAUGUUUCCUUGGUGUGAUUUGCACAUCUCCUCCAAGUCCAUCACUACUAGCAUCACCUCCACAGGUAACAAAGGCUUUAACUUUCUUAGAUCGGAGACUCGAAUCAGUAUACCCUAUAAUCCAAAUCUUCAAGAGCAUUGUCACCUCAGAUCCUCUUAAUGUUACCCAAACAUGGGUUGGCCCAGAUAUAUGCAACUACACAGGCUUCUACUGUGAUCACCCACCUGAUAAUCUCUCCGCCACUGCCCUAGCUGCAAUUGAUUUCAAUGGGUUCCAGCUCUCUGCUCCGAGCCUUGAUGGGUUCAUUGAUCAGCUCCCAGACCUUGCUAUUUUUCAUGCAAAUUCUAACAACUUCACAGGCAGCAUAUCACCAAAAAUUGCUAGCCUGCCAUAUUUUUAUGAACUUGACUUAAGCAACAACAAUUUCUCUGGCAAUUUUCCUAUGGCGAUCCUUGGCAUCAGUAGCCUAUCUUUUUUAGACAUCCGAUUCAAUUCCUUUACUGGGUCAGUGCCUCCUCAGAUUUUUGAUCAAAGACUUGACGUACUCUUCCUUAAUAACAACAAUUUCAUGCAAAAACUCCCUGAUGCCCUCGGUUCAACCCCAGCACUCUAUCUCACCUUAGCUAACAACAAGUUCACAGGGCCAAUCCCAAGAACCAUCUUUAACGUUUCCUCAACAUUAACAGAGAUUUUGCUCUUGAACAACCAAUUGACAGGCUGCAUCCCAUAUGAACUUGGGCUAUUGAGAGAAGUAGUCCUCUUUGAUGCAAGUAACAACCUAUUGACAGGUCCUUUACCGUGCUCUUUAGGAUGCUUAGCCAAGAUAGAACAGCUGAACCUUGCGGGAAAUUUGUUGUAUGGGCAGGUGCCAGAGGCUCUGUGUGCAUUAGGGAACUUAGCAAAUUUAUCACUUUCAGGCAAUUAUUUCACUUGGCUAGGGCCAUUGUGUAGGAAACUAGUGAAGAGUAGGGUUCUUGAUAUCAGGAAAAACUGUAUUCAUGAUCUUCCAGAACAAAGGUCGUUUCACGAGUGUUUUUUUUUCUUCUUGUACCCUAGGCAUUGUCCAUACCCUGCUUUCUUUAAUUUCAUUCCUUGCAAGGUUCAUCCACCGAUUAAACCUCCCAUGGGUCCAAAGAGAAAUUUAAUUAGCUAUAAAGCCCUUUCAAGACACAGAAUGUGAAGACUAUUUAUUGGGUUUUUAUGAUGAAUUUUCAGUUGGAAGUCAAGAAUGUCAAGUUGUAUGAAUAGUAACUAGCUUUAUUGUUUGCCUAAUAAUGAUCAAUAAUAUGGUUAAUUAUUAAUUACUAAGGGCUCGUUUGGAUUAACUGUUGAAUACAA